GACAAAGACAUUGCUGGCCUUCUGACAUUCAUCCACAGCUCGCUCCACUGCUGUGGACUGACUGGAGUCCAACCCAACGACUUUGUUAGGAAGACCUGCCUCAAGGUGUAUGAUGCAGAGCACAGUCAUAUGCAGAGCUGCAGAGAGAACAUUACAACUUUCUCUGACAAUAAGGCACCAGUGGUGCUGGGCUGCUUCGUUGGAACCGGCGCUAUUUUGAUUGGAGAAGUGAUUUGCACCUGCUUGCUCACUUCAAAGAUUUAUCGGGACUCUGAUUCUCGGUAAAUUAUUCAGACUCUCUGCAUCGUCACCUUGGAUUCUCGUCAGCCUUUCAUCAGGACCUGGAUGCCUUCAUGUCCCCCAUUGCUUUCUCCAUCUCAGUCAUCUUAGUUUUUCAUUCUUAUUGCACAAUCCUGACAAAUUUGCAUCUCCAUGAAGAAUUACAGAUCCCUUCUUCAGUCAUGGCCAAAGGGUUGACAAUAACACGAGUUAUGUUUAGCAAACUGAAUAUUUCUAGAUUAUUUUUUGAAUAAAACCUUUAGUUGUAACCUUCAGUUACAUCAGACCAGUCUCUCGCCGCUAGUAAUUCUGCACCUGAAAGAAGAGUUUUCUGGGUCAUCAACAACUACAAGGUUGCAGAACAUGUGGCUUCAGGAUGUACAAAUGUGUCCAACAGUAAGGGCCGUCUCCUGUGAUAAGGGCAGAAAAGAAAGUGGUCUCUGAUCGGGACAAACACCAAAAACAGACUGAUAAUCCACCAAAGUACCAGGAUACACAGUAGAACACUAGUGCAGUUGUUUUUCCUGAUGAAUCCUCCAAAUUUUUGUAACAGAGAAAUAAUUUUUCCUGGAAAAGGUAAGCGACAUUGAAGGGCGGACUUAAAAUGCUGCCAAAGAACAAUGUCAUGAAUAAACACAUUGAUUAAAACAUCCUCCAUGAUCAACUUCUUCCUACCACCCAGGCAGUCUGGUGAUCUGUAUAUUUGAGAAUGAAGAACUGCGUCAACGUUACACAGAUUUUUAGCAUUCCUACACGUUUUUAAGUUCCCAGUCCUAUAUGUUCACUUAAAAUAUAAAGUUCAAAAGGAAUUCAAAACAGAUGUUCUUACAGCUGGAAGGGUUUAAAUUAGAAACCGGGAAAAACAAAUGAAGAAAAGAACCGUGGGAACUCCAAGUCGAGUGUUUCAAUGACCAGAACAUUGACAUUUAAACCAACAACAUAUCACCAUCAGUCAGAAUUUGACACAGAUGCCAGAAAAAAAGAUUAAAAUUGCACAAAGUAUAAGAAUGAUCAUCAAUGUAAAUAUUCACUUCAUUAAUUUUGAUUAAUGUUGGACAUCUUUUAAAUCUUUUAGUUUCAAUCACCGUUUACCUUCCUCUUCCUGGGUCAGUAUAUCAGAUUCAAGUCCUGAUCUGUUUAGGUAAACGCAGUUUUUUUUUUUUAUAUUAG
Molecule: long non-coding RNA, 1449 nt
Organism: Girardinichthys multiradiatus
Lineage: Eukaryota; Metazoa; Chordata; Actinopteri; Cyprinodontiformes; Goodeidae
Exons: 4
Source: RefSeq, a predicted model, not a curated record